CUUUUUCAACGGCUUCACGAAGGUUUGCCACUUUGGAUAGAUGUCAUCCGCUAGAUAAUAGCCAUAGUUGUAUGUACGACCAUUUGCUACAAACUGCAUCGGUGGCAACUCACCAUUUGCAAUCUUAUUCAUCAGUGGUGACCGGUUGACAACAUUGAUGUCAUUCAAAGAUCCAGGCAUUCCAAAGAAUGCAUGCCAAAUCCAAGUCUCCUGAUCGGCCACCGCUUCAAGGAUUAUAGUGGAACCCUUUUUUUGGCCGUGGAAUUGCCGAUGCCAUGCCUUUGGACAAUUCUUCCAACUCCAAUGCAUGCAAUCUAUUGAGCCAAGC
Molecule: long non-coding RNA, 328 nt
Filed under: Hordeum vulgare
Lineage: Eukaryota; Viridiplantae; Streptophyta; Magnoliopsida; Poales; Poaceae
Description: long non-coding RNA (HVUL_LNC005439)
Source: RNAcentral